AUCGCUUCUCGGCCUAUUUGGCUAAGAUCAAUGUAGUAUCUGUUCUUAUCAGUUUAAUAUCUCUGAUACGUCCCCCAGCGGGGGACUACAUAUUAAGCGGCUUUUUAGAACAGGGAGUCGGCAAAGGAGCUUGCUCCAUCCGCUCCACGCAUCGACCCCAGUAUUGCAGUGCCUCUGGGAGCGGUGCACUUUCU
This is a small nuclear RNA of 194 nucleotides. Its record names the gene U2. It matches the Rfam family "U2 spliceosomal RNA". Rfam says of the family: U2 is a small nuclear RNA (snRNA) component of the spliceosome (involved in pre-mRNA splicing). Complementary binding between U2 snRNA (in an area lying towards the 5' end but 3' to hairpin I) and the branchpoint sequence (BPS) of the intron results the bulging out of an unpaired adenosine, on the BPS, which initiates a nucleophilic attack at the intronic 5' splice site, thus starting the first of two transesterification reactions that mediate splicing. The record is from Ensembl.